CUUGUUGGUGACUUGUGAUCCUGUUGGUGACUUGGUUCUUCAGAUAUGGGUCUCAGAUGACUUUGGGUUUCAGAUGAUUUGUGGUUCCGAGUUCAAGCCGAAACUUUGAUCCUGUGCUCCGAGAUACACAGCCAGCCAGUCUUGUCUGCAUCAUUUGCUUCAUAGCAUGUUUAUUUUCAAAAAAAACUAAUGCAAUAAAAAAA
RNAcentral lists this long non-coding RNA (203 nucleotides) under Lathyrus oleraceus (garden pea). RNAcentral describes it as "Pisum sativum (pea) long non-coding RNA (PSAT_LNC015918)". Lineage: Eukaryota; Viridiplantae; Streptophyta; Magnoliopsida; Fabales; Fabaceae. The record is from RNAcentral.